GCCCCCGUAGCUCAGUGGACCAGAGCGACGGCCUUCUAAGCCGUGGGUCGCAGGUUCGAAUCCUGCCGGGGGUG
RNAcentral lists this transfer RNA (74 nucleotides) under Chloroflexota bacterium. Its description in RNAcentral is "Chloroflexi bacterium tRNA-Arg". It matches the Rfam family "tRNA". Rfam says of the family: Transfer RNA (tRNA) molecules are approximately 80 nucleotides in length. Their secondary structure includes four short double-helical elements and three loops (D, anti-codon, and T loops). Further hydrogen bonds mediate the characteristic L-shaped molecular structure. tRNAs have two regions of fundamental functional importance: the anti-codon, which is responsible for specific mRNA codon recognition, and the 3' end, to which the tRNAs corresponding amino acid is attached (by aminoacyl-tRNA synthetases). tRNAs cope with the degeneracy of the genetic code in two manners: having more than one tRNA (with a specific anti-codon) for a particular amino acid; and 'wobble' base-pairing, i.e. permitting non-standard base-pairing at the 3rd anti-codon position. Lineage: Bacteria; Bacillati; Chloroflexota. The record is from RNAcentral.